Molecule: transfer RNA, 64 nt
Filed under: Vietnamella sp. MT-2014
Lineage: Eukaryota; Metazoa; Arthropoda; Insecta; Ephemeroptera; Ephemerellidae
Description: tRNA-Leu
Source: RNAcentral
ACUACUUUGGCAGAAUAGUGCACUAGGUUUAGAACCUAAGUAAGAAUUUAAGGUUCAGGUAGUA